RNAcentral lists this ribosomal RNA (253 nucleotides) under uncultured bacterium. Its description in RNAcentral is "partial 16S ribosomal RNA". It matches the Rfam family "Bacterial small subunit ribosomal RNA", at positions 524 to 776 of the family's 1533-position model. The record is from RNAcentral.
UACGUAGGCAGCGAGCGUUGUUCGGAAUUACUGGGCGUAAAGAGUGUGUAGGCGGUGUUCCCAGUCUGUUGUGAAAUCUCCCGGCUUAACUGGGAGGGUGCAGCGGAAACUAGAAUGCUAGAGGGUGGGAGAGGUAAGCGGAAUUCCUGGUGUAGCGGUGAAAUGCGUAGAUAUCAGGAGGAACACCUGUGGUGUAGACAGCUUACUGGACCACUUCUGACGCUGAGACACGAAAGCGUGGGCAGCAAACAGG